AUGGACCACGCGUCCACUGCGGUUCUGAGCGCGCCGUCCGCGCCCACCUGNACUCGCGACGUUUUGUUAGCC
This 72-nucleotide small RNA is filed under the name Xanthomonas oryzae pv. oryzae. RNAcentral describes it as "sX9". It matches the Rfam family "Xanthomonas sRNA sX9". Lineage: Bacteria; Pseudomonadati; Pseudomonadota; Gammaproteobacteria; Lysobacterales; Lysobacteraceae. The record is from RNAcentral.